Molecule: ribosomal RNA, 997 nt
Filed under: Salmonella enterica subsp. enterica serovar Typhimurium
Lineage: Bacteria; Pseudomonadati; Pseudomonadota; Gammaproteobacteria; Enterobacterales; Enterobacteriaceae
Description: bacterial LSU rRNA
Rfam family: Bacterial large subunit ribosomal RNA
Source: RNAcentral
GCUCGAUGAGUAGGGCGGGACACGUGGUAUCCUGUCUGAAUAUGGGGGGACCAUCCUCCAAGGCUAAAUACUCCUGACUGACCGAUAGUGAACCAGUACCGUGAGGGAAAGGCGAAAAGAACCCCGGCGAGGGGAGUGAAAAAGAACCUGAAACCGUGUACGUACAAGCAGUGGGAGCACAGGUUUACCUGUGUGACUGCGUACCUUUUGUAUAAUGGGUCAGCGACUUAUAUUCUGUAGCAAGGUUAACCGUAUAGGGGAGCCGUAGGGAAACCGAGUCUUAACCGGGCGUUAAGUUGCAGGGUAUAGACCCGAAACCCGGUGAUCUAGCCAUGGGCAGGUUGAAGGUUGGGUAACACUAACUGGAGGACCGAACCGACUAAUGUUGAAAAAUUAGCGGAUGACCUGUGGCUGGGGGUGAAAGGCCAAUCAAACCGGGAGAUAGCUGGUUCUCCCCGAAAGCUAUUUAGGUAGCGCCUCGUGAAUUCAUCUCCGGGGGUAGAGCACUGUUUCGGCUAGGGGGCCAUCCCGGCUUACCAACCCGAUGCAAACUGCGAAUACCGGAGAAUGUUAUCACGGGAGACACACGGCGGGUGCUAACGUCCGUCGUGAAGAGGGAAACAACCCAGACCGCCAGCUAAGGUCCCAAAGUCAUGGUUAAGUGGGAAACGAUGUGGGAAGGCCCAGACAGCCAGGAUGUUGGCUUAGAAGCAGCCAUCAUUUAAAGAAAGCGUAAUAGCUCACUGGUCGAGUCGGCCUGCGCGGAAGAUGUAACGGGGCUAAACCAUGCACCGAAGCUGCGGCAGCGACGCUGAUGCGUUGUUGGGUAGGGGAGCGUUCUGUAAGCCUGCGAAGGUGACCUGUGAGGGUUGCUGGAGGUAUCAGAAGUGCGAAUGCUGACAUAAGUAACGAUAAAGCGGGUGAAAAGCCCGCUCGCCGGAAGACCAAGGGUUCCUGUCCAACGUUAAUCGGGGCAGGGUGAGUCGACCCCUAAGGC